Bradyrhizobium erythrophlei is the source of this 103-nucleotide non-coding RNA. NCBI's taxonomy places the organism in Bacteria, Pseudomonadati, Pseudomonadota, Alphaproteobacteria, Hyphomicrobiales, Nitrobacteraceae. The record is from Rfam.
CUGAGAGCGCCGUGAGGCGGUCUGACCGCGGAGCAGAAGUCAGCAGAGGGCAUAUUAGGUCAUGUCGUCGGCAAGGCUAGUGAGGCACUCCGUGCCGAAAGGC